Molecule: ribosomal RNA, 713 nt
Filed under: uncultured bacterium
Lineage: Bacteria
Description: bacterial SSU rRNA
Rfam family: Bacterial small subunit ribosomal RNA
Source: RNAcentral
AGAGUUUGAUCCUGGCUCAGAUUGAACGCUGGCGGAAUGCUUUACACAUGCNAGUCGAGCGGCAGCGCGGGGCAACCUGGCGGCGAGCGGCGAACGGGUGAGUAAUGCAUCGGAACAUGUCCAUUCGUGGGGGAUAGCCCGGCGAAAGCCGGAUUAAUACCGCAUACGCCCGAGAGGGGAAAGCCGGGGACCGCAAGGCCUGGCGCGAAUGGGUUGGCCGAUGCCCGAUUAGCUAGUUGGUGAGGUAAAGGCUCACCAAGGCGAUGAUCGGUAGCUGGUCUGAGAGGAUGAUCAGCCACACUGGGACUGAGACACGGCCCAGACUCCUACGGGAGGCAGCAGUGGGGAAUUUUGGACAAUGGGGGCAACCCUGAUCCAGCCAUUCCGCGUGAGUGAAGAAGGCCUUCGGGUUGUAAAGCUCUUUUGUCCGGAACGAAACGGUUUGCGUGAAUAGCGCCGACUACUGACGGUACCGGAAGAAUAAGCACCGGCUAACUACGUGCCAGCAGCCGCGGUAAUACGUAGGGUGCGAGCGUUAAUCGGAAUUACUGGGCGUAAAGCGUGCGCAGGCGGUUUUGUAAGCCAGAUGUGAAAGCCCCGGGCUUACCUGGGAAUGGCAUUUGGGACUGCAAGGCUGGAGUGUGGCANAGGAGACUGGAAUUCCUGGUGUAGCAGUGAAAUGCGUAGAUAUCAGGAGGAAUACCGAUGGCGAA